CCUACGGGAGGCUGCAGUAGGGAAUAUUGCUCAAUGGGGGAAACCCUGAAGCAGCAACGCCGCGUGGAGGAUGAAGGUUUUAGGAUUGUAAACUCCUUUUGUGAGAGACGAUCAUGACGGUAUCCCACGAAAAAGCAUCGGCUAACUACGUGCCAGCAGCCGCGGUAAUACGGAGGCUGCGAGCGUUGUCCGGUUUUAUUGGGUUUAACGGGUGCGCAGGCGGUCUGUUAAGUCAGCGGUCAAAGCCCGGGUCUCAACCCCGGCCCGCCGUUGAAACUGGCAGUCUCGAGUUGGAGAGAAGUAUGCGGAAUGCGCGGUGUAGCGGUGAAACUCAUAGAUAUCGCGCAGAACUCCGAUUGCGAAGGCAGCAUGCCGGCUCCACACUGACGCUGAGGCACGAAAGCGUGGGUAUCGAACAGGAUUAGAUACCCGAGUAGUC
RNAcentral lists this ribosomal RNA (439 nucleotides) under uncultured bacterium. RNAcentral describes it as "partial 16S ribosomal RNA". It matches the Rfam family "Bacterial small subunit ribosomal RNA", at positions 338 to 795 of the family's 1533-position model. The record is from RNAcentral.